Molecule: long non-coding RNA, 1368 nt
Organism: Canis lupus familiaris (dog)
Lineage: Eukaryota; Metazoa; Chordata; Mammalia; Carnivora; Canidae
Exons: 3
Source: RefSeq, a predicted model, not a curated record
CCCAAUGCCCACCCCACCCCGUCCGGCGCAGUUAGGUUUCGAAGUUCGCGCAGCCCCCUGAGGCCGCCGGGAAGGGGUGGGGACAGCGGCCGCCCUGCGGCAGGAGCUGGCGUUGCGGGAAAGCCUGGCGCUUAGGUCGCUUCCCACGCCCAGUUAGGUGGCCAGCCUGGAGCUGGUAUUUGGGAGCUCUCCCCAGGUGCGGGAAGCCGUGCGCUCGAGGGCAGGGGAAGGAACGCCGCACCCUGCUCCCCUCUCCCGGGCCGGGCACCUUUCUAGACCUCCAUCCCGUUUACUCUCCACAGCAGCCGCGUUCUGUAGUAUCGCCAUUCUUACGUAGGAAGAGAUCCGUCUCUGGAAGUCUUGAGGGACUUGCCCAGGUCACAUGAUUGGUACACAAAAGAAGAUAUGCUUGCCAUAGUUCUUUCGGUGAAAACUUUAAAAUUCAAAAUGGACAUCAAAACGAUAGAGGUUUAUUAAGCAGAUAAUAGCACUUCAGAGAAAACUCUCAAAAGUGAGAGAGAGGGGUCCCAACAGGGUAUCCUUUUUUCCCUGAACAUAUGCUCCAUCCCUAAAUGUUUAUAUAAAACUUUGUAUUCAGUGAUUCACAAUUGCAUGAUAUUGAUGUAGGAACAAGUUAGGAGCAGACAGGGCUAGGUAGGAAAAGAUAAGGGAAAGGUCUAGAGUCAGGCUUCCAGGAAUCUGUGGGUUCCCAUAAACCCCAAGGACACCAAAAGGCCCCAGAGGCUCCUACCCAUCCGAAGGAAACAGAUUCGUUCAACUCCAUAAGAACCAAGCUCUCCCGUAUCAUUUUGGUGCCAAAACCUGGGACCUCCCAUCAAAGGCUUCAAGCCUUCCAACAUCACUUGGGAGCCAUACUGUAGACUUCUCGACUGACCCUGAGAAUACUCUGACUGCCUCCGUUCCCCCCCUCAUGCCACCCCUUUUCAGCCUGAAGCAGCCAGAGCGGUCAUCAUCCCAUUCCCUAACGGCAGUUCGGGUUACUAUUCCAAGGGGAGGAAGGAUGUAGGAACAAGUUAGGGGCAGAUGGGACUAGGCAGGGAAAGAUAAGGGAGAGGCCCAGAGUCAGGCUUCCAGGAAUCUGUGGGCUCCCAUAAACCAAGGACCCCAAAGGCCCCAGAGUCAGGCUCCUACCCAUCCCAAGGAAACAGAUAAGACAGUAAAAAACAGAAAAAAAUAAACCUGGCUCCCUAGCUCCAAAAUGUUAGGGGGUGUUCCCCUUUAAUAGCUACUAGGCUCACAGAUACCCCAGAUGUAGAGAAAUAUUAUGGAGGAGCUAUUAACCAGAGAGAAGGGAACACCUUGUUUGUGCUCAUGAUAUUUACAAAGAAACAUCUUGUUUGUUUCAAG